AUGGGUGGCCAUAUGAUUUCUUCGCCGGAUCUCCCAGCUAGGGUUACCGCCGCCGCCGCCCUCACCCGGGCUCGCGUCCUCUUCAACUCCGGCUGUGAGCUCCACCCCCUCCAGCGGUCCAGCCUUCGGAGCACAGGGGUGCGGGGCAGUGGUGGACGGGCCUGUGAAGGAACUGCAAGAGGCGCUGGAUGCGGACAUCCAGGCCGCAUCAUGAAGGAGCUGGAGAUGCAGAGCUACAUCAGGACCGCGAGCGCGAGGUCGCCGGAAAAAAUACCACCAUAA
Molecule: ribosomal RNA, 282 nt
Filed under: Triticum aestivum (bread wheat)
Lineage: Eukaryota; Viridiplantae; Streptophyta; Magnoliopsida; Poales; Poaceae
Description: partial small subunit ribosomal RNA
Source: RNAcentral